RNAcentral lists this ribosomal RNA (253 nucleotides) under uncultured bacterium. RNAcentral describes it as "partial 16S ribosomal RNA". It matches the Rfam family "Bacterial small subunit ribosomal RNA", at positions 524 to 776 of the family's 1533-position model. The record is from RNAcentral.
UACGUAGGGUGCGAGCGUUGUCCGGAAUUAUUAGGCGUAAAGCGCACGUAGGCGGCUUUGCAAGUCGGAUGUGAAAUCCCACGGCUCAACCAUGGAAGUGCAUCCGAAACUGCAGAGCUUGAGUACUUAAGAGGAUCGCGGAAUUCCCGGUGUAGAGGUGAAAUUCGUAGAUAUCGGGAGGAACACCAGUGGCGAAGGCGACUACCUGGCCUGUUCUUGACGCUGAGGCGCGAAAGCUAGGGGAGCAAACGGG